GUGUCAGCAGCCGCGGUAAUACGGGGGGGGCAAGCGUUGUUCGGAAUUACUGGGCGUAAAGGGCGCGUAGGCGGCUCGCUAAGUCGGGUGUGAAAACUCUGGGCUCAACCCAGAGCCUGCACUCGAAACUGACGAGCUAGAGUUCUGGAGGGGAAAGCGGAAUUCCUGGUGUAGCGGUGAAAUGCGUAGAUAUCAGGAGGAACACCGGUGGCGAAGGCGGCUUUCUGGACAGAAACUGACGCUGAGGCGCGAAAGCUAGGGGAGCAAACAGGAUUAGAAACCCUCGUAGUCC
This 292-nucleotide ribosomal RNA is filed under the name uncultured bacterium. RNAcentral's name for it is "partial 16S ribosomal RNA". It matches the Rfam family "Bacterial small subunit ribosomal RNA", at positions 505 to 796 of the family's 1533-position model. The record is from RNAcentral.